Molecule: ribosomal RNA, 700 nt
Filed under: Brevibacterium sp. K198
Lineage: Bacteria; Bacillati; Actinomycetota; Actinomycetes; Micrococcales; Brevibacteriaceae
Description: bacterial SSU rRNA
Rfam family: Bacterial small subunit ribosomal RNA
Source: RNAcentral
AGCCUGGUGCUUGCACCGGGUGGAUGAGUGGCGAACGGGUGAGUAACACGUGAGUAACCUGCCCCCGACUUCGGGAUAAGCCCGGGAAACUGGGUCUAAUACCGGAUAUGACUCUCUAACGCAUGUUGGAGAGUGGAAAGUUUUUUCGGUUGGGGAUGGGCUCGCGGCCUAUCAGUUUGUUGGUGAGGUAAUGGCUCACCAAGACGACGACGGGUAGCCGGCCUGAGAGGGCGACCGGCCACACUGGGACUGAGACACGGCCCAGACUCCUACGGGAGGCAGCAGUGGGGAAUAUUGCACAAUGGGGGAAACCCUGAUGCAGCGACGCAGCGUGCGGGAUGACGGCCUUCGGGUUGUAAACCGCUUUCAGCAGGGAAGAAGCCUUUAUCGGUGACGGUACCUGCAGAAGAAGUACCGGCUAACUACGUGCCAGCAGCCGCGGUAAUACGUAGGGUACAAGCGUUGUCCGGAAUUAUUGGGCGUAAAGAGCUCGUAGGUGGUUGGUCACGUCUGCUGUGGAAACGCAACGCUUAACGUUGCGCGUGCAGUGGGUACGGGCUGACUAGAGUGCAGUAGGGGAGUCUGGAAUUCCUGGUGUAGCGGUGAAAUGCGCAGAUAUCAGGAGGAACACCGGUGGCGAAGGCGGGACUCUGGGCUGUAACUGACACUGAGGAGCGAAAGCAUGGGGAGCGAACAGGAU